This 390-nucleotide ribosomal RNA is filed under the name uncultured microorganism. Its description in RNAcentral is "bacterial SSU rRNA". It matches the Rfam family "Archaeal small subunit ribosomal RNA", at positions 330 to 720 of the family's 1478-position model. The record is from RNAcentral.
GCGCAGCAGUCGCGAAACCUCCGCAAUGCGGGAAACCGUGACGGGGUCACCCCGAGUGCCACCCGAUGAGGGUGGCUUUUCCCCGGUCUAAAAAGCCGGGGGCAAUAAGCGGGGGGCAAGUCUGGUGUCAGCCCGCCGCGGUAAUACCAGCCCCGCGAGUGGUCGGGACGUUUAUUGGGCCUAAAGCGUCCGUAGCCGGCUCGGUAAGUCCCUCCUUAAAUCCACGGGCUCAACCCGUGGGGCUGGGAGGGAUACUGCCGGGCUAGGGGGCGGGAGAGGCCGAGGGUACUCCCGGGGUAGGGCGAAAUCCGUUAAUCCCGGGAGGACCACCAGUGGCGAAGGCGCUCGGCUGGAACGCGCCCGACGGUGAGGGACGAAAGCUGGGGGAGC